UUUUUUCUUUAAAUGUAAACUCUUUAUCAGACUAUAUAUAUAAAAGGUUUUUCUUAAAAUUAUGGCUAUCCACUGACAUGACUCCAAGCCCUAGAGUGUUAACAACGAGGUUUGGAGGGUAAAUAUAUAUACCAGUCUAGUGGAAGCAACAUGGAAUAGAUACACAAGGGAGAUGGAAAAGUAUUUCAAAAAAAAAAUGAAUUUUUUUGAUAAUGAUCCUUCCGCAGGUUCACCUACGGAAA
RNAcentral lists this unclassified non-coding RNA (242 nucleotides) under uncultured fungus. Its description in RNAcentral is "sequence contains ITS1". The record is from RNAcentral. Lineage: Eukaryota; Fungi.